UACGAAGGGGGCUAGCGUUGCUCGGAAUUACUGGGCGUAAAGCGCGCGUAGGCGGCUCUUUAAGUCGGGGGUGAAAUCCUGGAGCUCAACUCCAGAACUGCCUUCGAUACUGAAGAGCUUGAGUCCGGGAGAGGUGAGUGGAACUGCGAGUGUAGAGGUGAAAUGCGUAGAUAUCUGGAGGAACACCGGUGGCGAAGGCGGCAUCCUGGACCGGCAUUGACGCUGAGGCGCGAAAGCCAGGGGAGCAAACGGG
RNAcentral lists this ribosomal RNA (253 nucleotides) under uncultured bacterium. RNAcentral describes it as "partial 16S ribosomal RNA". It matches the Rfam family "Bacterial small subunit ribosomal RNA", at positions 524 to 776 of the family's 1533-position model. The record is from RNAcentral.